UUAGAAACCAUUCCCACUGGACAAGGCGCC
Molecule: non-coding RNA, 30 nt
Filed under: Mus musculus (house mouse)
Lineage: Eukaryota; Metazoa; Chordata; Mammalia; Rodentia; Muridae
Source: RNAcentral